CUCUAAGGCCAUACCACCCUGAACAUGUCUGAUCUCGUCUGAUCUCAGAAGCUAAGCAGGGUUGGGCCUGGUUAGUACUUGGAUGGGAGACAGUGGCAGGCACAAUGCAUUCAAGU
Molecule: ribosomal RNA, 116 nt
Filed under: Echinops telfairi (small Madagascar hedgehog)
Lineage: Eukaryota; Metazoa; Chordata; Mammalia; Afrosoricida; Tenrecidae
Source: RNAcentral